CUCAUCAAUCUUAUCCCAACAAAGUCCCACUCAUAAUCCACACACGUUUCUCUUAUGCACUUGAUUUCCUCUUCUCUCACAACACUCCCCAACGGUCACACGAAAGACCUACUCACUCUCACCUCUCUCAACCUCACUAUACAAUACUCUCUCCCUCUCCUUCAACCGAAGACAACACUUCCCUCAACAUCUCAGCCGCAUCCACCAAAAACCCAACCUCUUCAUCAUCUCCCUCUUCCCACCAUCGUUGUCGGUGACCACCAUCCACGCACCCUCCACCGUGCACCCAACCUCCACCAUAUUUAUCACGACAUCCCUUUCACCUUCACGUUGCGCUCACCACACCGGCGAAUCCUUUCCAACACACUUUCGUCAUCUCCUUCACACCAACGCCGUCACCAUCCAAAACCAUCUUCAUACCAAAUCUGCCUCCAUUUUACUUCCCAAAACCACCGCGCCUCGCGCCGUCGGCGAGCAAACUCAUUCAGCCUCGACAACAACAACUCUACCGUGAAACACAUCUACGAAGAAGAAUAACAAAACUAUCUUCUCACUGUUUCUGAUCAACCUUCACCCCCUUCCUCACCGGAUCGAUGCUCACCUGUUACCAUAACAAUUAUUAGUUAUUAGUGCAGGAGCAUUGAGGCUUCUUAUGCCAAAAUUAAUUAAGCUUGCUAUUGUUGCAUAGCGUAUAUAAUUUGUUGUUGGCCGUUUUCCGACAUCGCACCGUAUCUACGGUAGAAGAGAGUUGAUGUUUUGUCUAUAACGUGAAAGUUGCGACAAAUGCUUGUUGCAUAGAAUGGAAGUAUUGAUAUGAGUUUCUUUAUUUUAUUUUUAUGCUACUGUUUACUCAAAAUGGUUGUUGUGUGUUAUGUCGUCAAAACCGAAAAGAGAGGAUUAGAAUUUCUUUUGGGAGUUGUUUUGAAGCUUAGAGAGAAAGAGACAUGGUUGUCUAUGCUAGUAGUAUUUUGUUGUUAUCCAUUGCCACAUGUCCCGUCACCAUUCAUUGAUGUUUAGUGUUGUAAGGUCAAAACUAUUUUUCUUAACAUUAUUUCUCACAUUUUACUA
Lathyrus oleraceus (garden pea) is the source of this 1068-nucleotide long non-coding RNA. RefSeq lists it as uncharacterized. NCBI's taxonomy places the organism in Eukaryota, Viridiplantae, Streptophyta, Magnoliopsida, Fabales, Fabaceae. The transcript is spliced from 2 exons. The record is from RefSeq and is a predicted model, not a curated record.